AUCGCUUCUCGGCCUUUUGGCUAAGAUCAAGUGUAAUGUUCUACUUAAUCCUUGAAUAAUUAAUUCCAAUUUAUAAAUAAUUAUUUGGUAAAAGGGAAUAAUU
RNAcentral lists this small nuclear RNA (103 nucleotides) under Otolemur garnettii (small-eared galago). RNAcentral describes it as "U2 spliceosomal RNA". It matches the Rfam family "U2 spliceosomal RNA", at positions 1 to 122 of the family's 192-position model. From Rfam's summary of the family: U2 is a small nuclear RNA (snRNA) component of the spliceosome (involved in pre-mRNA splicing). Complementary binding between U2 snRNA (in an area lying towards the 5' end but 3' to hairpin I) and the branchpoint sequence (BPS) of the intron results the bulging out of an unpaired adenosine, on the BPS, which initiates a nucleophilic attack at the intronic 5' splice site, thus starting the first of two transesterification reactions that mediate splicing. The record is from Rfam by way of RNAcentral. Lineage: Eukaryota; Metazoa; Chordata; Mammalia; Primates; Galagidae.